CACGUAGGGCGCAAGCGUUGUCCGGAAUUAUUGGGCGUAAAGAGCUCGUAGGCGGUCUGUCGCGUCGGCUGUGAAAACCCGGAGCUCAACUCCGGGCCUGCAGUCGAUACGGGCAGACUGGAGUUCGGCAGGGGAGACUGGAAUUCCUGGUGUAGCGGUGAAAUGCGCAGAUAUCAGGAGGAACACCGGUGGCGAAGGCGGGUCUCUGGGCCGAUACUGACGCUGAGGAGCGAAAGCGUGGGGAGCGAACAGG
RNAcentral lists this ribosomal RNA (253 nucleotides) under uncultured bacterium. RNAcentral's name for it is "partial 16S ribosomal RNA". It matches the Rfam family "Bacterial small subunit ribosomal RNA", at positions 524 to 776 of the family's 1533-position model. The record is from RNAcentral.